This 1096-nucleotide long non-coding RNA is filed under the name Numida meleagris (helmeted guineafowl). Its description in RNAcentral is "lncRNA (ENSNMEG00000020321.1)". The record is from RNAcentral. Lineage: Eukaryota; Metazoa; Chordata; Aves; Galliformes; Numididae.
AUGGCUGUGACUGAAGGCUGCUGGGUGAGGAGGAGACUGAAACCCCUGGUGCGGAGAGAAGGGCUGAAGUGUGUUCGUCUCAAAGAUCCUCUGUUGCUUACAAGGGGAAGGCACAGACAGUGCAGUGACAGCUGUUGUGGCACUUGGUCAUCGGGGUGUGUUUGUGUGAUGUCUGGGUCCAGCACUUGGUGACUAGGUACUGACAAUUCAUGGGCACUUUAAAGUUUUAAGCUGCAGCCCUUUUGUAAGUAAACUUUCUGAUCUGCAAGCCAGAGAGACUUUCUUCUACAUACGUUGCCAGUGUGCCUUAAAUAAUCUUUGAUGUGAUGGUCUAUCUGUAGCAGUGGCUGAGCUGCAGGCUGUUCGGGGCAAUGUAUCUGCACUUCAUCCCUCUACCUGGAGCCACAGCCACGGGCAUACAUACAGAUAGAUUCUUAGCAGUGUUCAAAUGAGAUAUAGUUGUCUGUAAGCCACCUAUCUCCAAGUUCUGUCACAUUGUACAGUUCUUAAAUUGUCCACUUAGAGGCAUUCUCAGCAGAAUUUAUUUCUAGUUUAAUAUUAAUCUUGUCAUUUGGCUUCCACGACUCCCUUGUAGCUUCUGUACUGUUUUGCAGAGCUUCUCCUUAACCCAAUGUUAAUGACAAGGAUACAGAAUAGACAAAUGAGGCAAUUAAAAAAAAAAAGUGUCACUGCAGCAGAAGGAGUAAUAGUCAUAAGUAAUAUUUACUUGGAAUACGGAGUUUAGUAUUGUUCAGAAUGAAGUGCUGCCCUUUGCAAGCAACUUACUGUAUCUAAAUGGACAGGUAUAGGUUUUAUAAGAGCUGUGAGGGGUAAAUUAAAUUUUACUCUUGUGCACUCACACGCCUGGGUUUGUAUUUCAUUUCAGUGGGUGACUUGCCUCAUGGAUAGGUCCCUGUUUCAUUAACUCCUUCUGAGCCUCUUGUAUUAUUAACAUGCAACAAAUAACUUCAGCAGUUAUUUUUCACCUUAAAAAUUGUAAUUGAGGCUUUGGAAACAGCUUUCUCUUCAGUGAUGUGUUGCGAUUUGCACUUGAAGUACAAAUAAAAAUGCCCAUUUCACCCUAUAAUUGAAUUUC